GAUGAACGCUGGCGGCGUGCCUAAUACAUGCAAGUCGAGCGAACAGACGAGGAGCUUGCUCCUCUGACGUUAGCGGCGGACGGGUGAGUAACACGUGGAUAACCUACCUAUAAGACUGGGAUAACUUCGGGAAACCGGAGCUAAUACCGGAUAAUAUAUUGAACCGCAUGGUUCAAUAGUGAAAGACGGUUUUGCUGUCACUUAUAGAUGGAUCCGCGCCGCAUUAGCUAGUUGGUAAGGUAACGGCUUACCAAGGCAACGAUGCGUAGCCGACCUGAGAGAGUGAUCGGCCACACUGUAACUGAGACACGGUCCAGACUCCUACGGGAGGCAGCAGUAGGGAAUCUUCCGCAAUGGGCGAAAGCCUGACGGAGCAACGCCGCGUGAGUGAUGAAGGUCUUCGGAUCGUAAAACUCUGUUAUUAGGGAAGAACAAAUGUGUAAGUAACUAUGCACGUCUUGACGGUACCUAAUCAGAAAGCCACGGCUAACUACGUG
Molecule: ribosomal RNA, 497 nt
Filed under: uncultured bacterium
Lineage: Bacteria
Description: partial 16S ribosomal RNA
Rfam family: Bacterial small subunit ribosomal RNA
Source: RNAcentral